CCUACGGGAGGCAGCAGUAAGGAAUCUUCCACAAUGGACGAAAGUCUGAUGGAGCAACGCCGCGUGCAGGAUGAAGGCUUUCGGGUCGUAAACUGCUUUUAUACGGGAAGAUUAUGACGGUACCAUAUGAAUAAGGACCGGCUAACUACGUGCCAGCAGCCGCGGUAAUACGUAGGGUCCAAGCGAUAUCCGGAAUUACUGGGCGUAAAGCGUGUGUAGGUGGAUUAAUAAGUGUGAUGCGAAAUCCGGCGGCUCAACCGUUUGGACUGUGUCGCAUACUGUUAGUCUAGAGGACGGCAGAGGUAAGUGGAAUUACGGGUGUAGCAGUGAAAUGCGUAGAUAUCCGUAGGAACACCAAUGGCGAAGGCAGCUUACUGGGCCACACCUGACACUGAGACACGAAAGCGUGGGGAGCGAACAGGAUUAGAUACCCUGGUAGUCCACGCCGUAAACGAUGCAUACUAUUAGUAUGGGGUAUCGACCCCCUGUGCUGAGAGACUACGACGAUAAGUAUGCCGCCGUCGGGAGGUACGAGCGCGACGACUUAAACCUAACGAAACGGAAGUUAGUACGGCGUGAGACGUGCCGACGGACGACGACGAGGGAGGUUAGG
This 613-nucleotide ribosomal RNA is filed under the name uncultured bacterium. RNAcentral's name for it is "bacterial SSU rRNA". The stretch from base 1 to 520 matches the Rfam family "Bacterial small subunit ribosomal RNA", at positions 338 to 873 of the family's 1533-position model. The record is from RNAcentral.